Molecule: ribosomal RNA, 44 nt
Filed under: Fusarium oxysporum
Lineage: Eukaryota; Fungi; Ascomycota; Sordariomycetes; Hypocreales; Nectriaceae
Description: partial 28S ribosomal RNA
Source: RNAcentral
AUGUUGACCUCGGAUCAGGUAGGAAUACCCGCUGAACUUAACCA